AAUAGGAGAAUGAUAGAUUAGAUUUUUUCUCUUGUUUUUUAACUUUUUUCUUAUAAAAAUUUAAAUCUAACUAAAAAUGUUAAAAAUCAACGAGGAAAAAAAUUAAUUUGUCAUUCUUCUAUU
This 123-nucleotide microRNA precursor is filed under the name Gossypium arboreum. RNAcentral's name for it is "MIR7504 microRNA precursor family". It matches the Rfam family "MIR7504 microRNA precursor family". The record is from Rfam by way of RNAcentral. Lineage: Eukaryota; Viridiplantae; Streptophyta; Magnoliopsida; Malvales; Malvaceae.